AAGUCGUAACAAGGUUUCCGUAGGUGAACCUGCGGAAGGAUCAUUAACACGUAUCCAAACGUUAAACCCCCCUGUGAACCUUCACCUGUACUCGUACGUCCGUUAGAAAAAGCAGCAAUCCCUGGUAAAUCAUCGCCGAACAGUUUUCGAUUCAGGGACGUCUGCAAGGAGCGUGCAUGUUGUGCGAAGCAAGUGGCCUGGCAUCCCCAAGCAGUUAGUGUCUGAAAGUGUCAUUACCUGUGUAAGGCCACACGGCCGACGACCGGGUCGCUGGGCGCAAGCCCCCCUAUAACAAACCCCCUGCCAAUCGCGGCCGCGAUAAUACGCAGUCGACCAAAAACCGAACAACUGUUAACAAUGGAUAUCUUGGUUCUC
This 375-nucleotide unclassified non-coding RNA is filed under the name fungal sp. RNAcentral's name for it is "partial internal transcribed spacer region". The stretch from base 1 to 46 matches the Rfam family "Eukaryotic small subunit ribosomal RNA", at positions 1786 to 1831 of the family's 1831-position model. The record is from RNAcentral. Lineage: Eukaryota; Fungi.